GGGCCCGCACAAGCGGUGGAGUAUGUGGUUUAAUUCGAUGCAACGCGAAGAACCUUACCAGGGCUUGACAUCCUGCGAACCUCUGGGAAACCGGAGGGUGCCUUCGGGAACGCAGUGACAGGUGGUGCAUGGCUGUCGUCAGCUCGUGUCGUGAGAUGUUGGGUUAAGUCCCGCAACGAGCGCAACCCACGUCUUUAGUUGCCAGCAUUUAGUUGGGCACUCUAGAGAGACUGCCGGUGAUAAGCCGGAGGAAGGCGGGGAUGACGUCAAGUCCUCAUGGCCCUUAUGGGCUGGGCUACACACGUGCUACAAUGGCAGUGACAGAGGGACGCUACCUCGCGAGAGGAUGCAAAUCUCAAAAAGCUGUCUCAGUUCGGAUUGUUGUCUGCAACUCGACAACAUGAAGUCGGAAUCGCUAGUAAUCG
Molecule: ribosomal RNA, 425 nt
Filed under: uncultured bacterium
Lineage: Bacteria
Description: bacterial SSU rRNA
Rfam family: Bacterial small subunit ribosomal RNA
Source: RNAcentral